Long non-coding RNA from Oncorhynchus kisutch (coho salmon), 2719 nucleotides. The record is from Ensembl. Lineage: Eukaryota; Metazoa; Chordata; Actinopteri; Salmoniformes; Salmonidae.
GUCCUUUCAUGGUAAAGUGCAUCUAGUCAUGAACACGGAAAUACGCAGCAAAGACCCAGCUACUCUCUGACAGUCACCAUCACACCAUCAGACCACGAGAUGGACAGGCUGUGUGUCGCUCUGAUUACAUUCUUAUGUGCUGUUUCCUCCAGUCAGGAUGGGAUCUCUGCAGCAGAGGUGGAGCUGAGAGUCAGACCAGGAGACAACAUCACUCUCUACUGUGACUGUAUCAUAACUACUGGAGUUCACAUUAUGUGGAAUAGGAACUGUUCUCACAGGUACCAGCCUCCUCUAGUUAUUUCAAUUUACAACGUUUACCAAAAUCUUCAGGAAAUGUCUGAUAAUUCCAACCGUUUCCCUGGAUAUAAUGUGUUGUGGAACCCCUCUAACAACUCCUAUGAUCUACUGAUUGAGAACAUCACUGAAUCUGACCUGGGACUCUACUACUGUGGGACUGUGGAGAACCAGGUAGUGGAUGAUGGAGGUAAAGGAGGAAUUGAACAGAAAGAGUUGUACCACUAUGGAAACAUCACCACUAGGAUUUCACUUGAAACCAGUCCUCCUGAGUCCUCCUCCUCCUCCCCUCCUCCUGUAGACUGUGGGCUGUGUUGGAUGUUGCUGUUCAGUCUGUGUCCUGUGUCUGCUCUCCUCUCCUCUCCUCUCUCCUCUCCUCCACCUGUGUCUACUCCUUCUGCAGAACAACAGCUCCAACUGAGACUCAGGUUCCUCUGAACAGGACGACCACCAGGGGAAGUGACAGCAGAGAGCAGACUACAGUCAGAGAGGAAGGAGACUUGUGUUACGCCUCGUUGGAUAUCCGUCAGGGACAGAGGAGACCAAAGAAGAAGAAGAGAACCAAGAACUCAGACUUCAGUACCUACUCAGACAUCAAUACCAGCAGAGUGUGAGACCUAUACCAGCCAUCAAUACCAGCAGAGUGUGAGACCUAUACCAUCCAUCAAUACCAUCAGAGUGAGACCUAUACCAGCCAUCAAUACCAGCAGAGUGUGAGACCUAUACCAGUCAUCAAUACCAGCAGAGUGUGAGACCUGUACCAUCCAUCAAUACCAGCAGGGUUUGAGAUCUAUACCAUCCACCAAUACCAGCAGGGUUUGAGACCUAUACCAUCCAUCAAUACCAGCAGAGUGUGAGACCUAUACCAUCCAUCAAUACCAGCAGUGUGAGACCUAUACCAGCCAUAAAUACCAGCAGGGUUUGAGACCUAUACCAUCCACCAAUACCAGCAGGGUUUGAGACCUAUACCAGCCAUCAAUACCAGCAGAGUGAGACCUAUACCAUCCAUCAAUACCAGCAUUGUGAGACCUAUACCAGCCAUCAAUACCAGCAGGGUUUGAGACCUAUACCAUCCACCAAUACCAGCAGGGUUUGAGACCUAUACCAGCCAUCAAUACCAGCAGUGUGAGACCUAUACCAGUCAUCAAUACCAGCAGAGUGUGAGACCUGUACCAUCCAUCAAUACCAGCAGAGUGUGAGACCUAUACCAUCCACCAAUACCAGCAGGGUUUGAGACCUAUACCAUUCACCAAUACCAGCAGGGUUUGAGACCUAUACCAGCCAUCAAUACCAGCAGUGUGAGACCUAUACCAGUCAUCAAUACCAGCAGAGUGUGAGACCUGUACCAUCCAUCAAUACCAGCAGAGUGUGAGACCUAUACCAUCCACCAAUACCAGCAGGGUUUGAGACCUAUACCAGCCAUCAAUACCAGCAGUGUGAGACCUAUACCAGUCAUCAAUACCAGCAGAGUGUGAGACCUGUACCAUCCAUCAAUACCAGCAGGGUUUGAGACCUAUACCAUCCACCAAUACCAGCAGGGUUUGAGACCUAUACCAGCCAUCAAUACCAGCAGUGUGAGACCUAUACCAGUCAUCAAUACCAGCAGAGUGUGAGACCUGUACCAUCCAUCAAUACCAGCAGAGUGUUAGACCUAUACCAUCCACCAAUACCAGCAGGGUUUGAGACCUAUACCAGCCAUCAAUACCAGCAGUGUGAGACCUAUACCUGCAGAGUGUGAGACCUAUACCAUCCAUCAAUACCAGCAGUGUGAGACCUAUACCUGCAGAGUGUGAGACCUAUACCAUCCAUCAAUACCAGCAGAGUGAGACCUAUACCAUCCAUCAAUACCAGUAGAGUGUGAGACCUAUACCAUCCAUCAAUACCAGCAGAGUGAGACCUAUGCCAUCUAUCAAUACCAGUAGAGUGUGAGACCUAUACCAUCCAUCAGUACCAGCAGAGUGAGACAUAUGCCAUCCAAUACCAGCAGAGUGAGACCUAUGCCAUCUAUCAAUACCAGUAGAGUGUGAGACCUAUACCUGCAGAGUGUGAGACCUAUACCAGCCAUCAAUACCAGCCGGAUGUGAGACAUAAACCAUUCAUCAAUACCAGAAGAGUGAGACCUAUACCAGCCAUCAAUACCAGCAGUGUGAGACCUAUACCAUCCAUCAAUACCAGCAGAGUAUGAGACCUAUGCCAUCUAUCAAUACCAGUAGAGUGAGACCUGUACCAUCCAUCAAUACCAGUAGAGUGAGACCUAUACCAUCCAUCAAUACCAGCAGUGUGAGACCUAUACCAUCCAUCAAUACCAGCAGAGUGAAACCAAUAACAGUCAUCAAUACCAUUAUUGAUCAGGGAGGACAAGGUAUUACAGCUGUGAUCGUAUCAGUUAUUAUGUUUUUGUACUCGUAUAUUUUUACUGUCGUCU